This 514-nucleotide ribosomal RNA is filed under the name fungal endophyte. Its description in RNAcentral is "eukaryotic LSU rRNA". The stretch from base 148 to 301 matches the Rfam family "5.8S ribosomal RNA". The record is from RNAcentral. Lineage: Eukaryota; Fungi.
GGGCUACGAGUAACUCCAAACCCCUGUGACAUACCACUUGUUGCCUCGGCGGAUCAGCCCGCUCCCGGUAAAACGGGACGGCCCGCCAGAAGACCCCUAAACUCUGUUUCUAUAUGUAACUUCUGAGUAAAACCAUAAAUAAAUCAAAACUUUCAACAACGGAUCUCUUGGUUCUGGCAUCGAUGAAAAACGCAGCAAAAUGCGAUAAGUAAUGUGAAUUGCAGAAUUCAGUGAAUCAUCGAAUCUUUGAACGCACAUUGCGCCCGCCAGUAUUCUGGCGGGCAUGCCUGUUCGAGCGUCAUUUCAACCCUCAAGCACAGCUUGGUGUUGGGACUCGCGUUAAUUCGCGUUCCCCAAAUUGAUUGGCGGUCACGUCGAGCUUCCAUAGCGUAGUAGUAAAACCCUCGUUACUGGUAAUCGUCGCGGCCACGCCGUUAAACCCCAACUUCUGAAUGUUGACCUCGGAUCAGGUAGGAAUACCCGCUGAACUUAAGCAUAUCAAUAAGCGGAGGAA